UAAUAAGUGUUUUAUGGCACUUUUUAAAUCCAUAUCCACCUUGUGUGCAAUGUCAGUCGAUCUUCUUCAUGGAGAUCGACCAAACAUCAACCUUUAUUUUUCAACUCUUUGUCUGAAAAAUAUUAUGAAUAAACAAUUCAAAAUA
Molecule: unclassified non-coding RNA, 145 nt
Filed under: soil metagenome
Description: partial internal transcribed spacer 1
Source: RNAcentral